Molecule: ribosomal RNA, 493 nt
Filed under: Escherichia coli
Lineage: Bacteria; Pseudomonadati; Pseudomonadota; Gammaproteobacteria; Enterobacterales; Enterobacteriaceae
Description: bacterial LSU rRNA
Rfam family: Bacterial large subunit ribosomal RNA
Source: RNAcentral
GGGUUGUGAGGUUAAGCGACUAAGCGUACACGGUGGAUGCCCUGGCAGUCAGAGGCGAUGAAGGACGUGCUAAUCUGCGAUAAGCGUCGGUAAGGUGAUAUGAACCGUUAUAACCGGCGAUUUCCGAAUGGGGAAACCCAGUGUGAUUCGUCACACUAUCAUUAACUGAAUCCAUAGGUUAAUGAGGCGAACCGGGGGAACUGAAACAUCUAAGUACCCCGAGGAAAAGAAAUCAACCGAGAUUCCCCCAGUAGCGGCGAGCGAACGGGGAGGAGCCCAGAGCCUGAAUCAGUGUGUGUGUUAGUGGAAGCGUCUGGAAAGGCGCGCGAUACAGGGUGACAGCCCCGUACACAAAAAUACACAUAUUGUGAGCUCGAUGAGUAGGGCGGGACACGUGGUAUCCUGUCUGAAUAUGGGGGGACCAUCCUCCAAGGCUAAAUACUCCUGACUGACCGAUAGUGAACCAGUACCGUGAGGGAAAGGCGAAAAGAAC